This 999-nucleotide long non-coding RNA is filed under the name Nicotiana benthamiana. RNAcentral's name for it is "long non-coding RNA (NBEN_LNC011935)". The record is from RNAcentral. Lineage: Eukaryota; Viridiplantae; Streptophyta; Magnoliopsida; Solanales; Solanaceae.
UAUUUCAGAGAGUUCUCAACUUCUCUCUCUCUCACUGUGUCUCUCACCAGUUCUUCACCUUCAAUCUGUAUGUUUUCAUCGUAUCAGAGCAGGAUGAUCCUCGGAUUCUUCUCCGUUACUUGUUAUCGAUCGUGUCGGAAGUUCUAUUGAAGGUUUUUCUCUGGAUAUUUGUGAGAGAUUCUGCUUACCAAGAGAUCGAUGUGUAUUGAACAGAUAAUCGGAACUUUUACUGCUAUUUGAUGGUUUGAUCUUCACUCGGUGGAUUCUUUGGUUGAUUUUCCGACAUCCCUGACCUUAUUCCGGUAACUUUCCAGAUUCUAGGGUUUCUGGUGUUCGGACCUAGGGUUUUACUGCUAUCCGAUUGCUUGAUCCUCACUCGGUGGAUGUUUUGGAUGAUUUUCCGACGUCCUUCUGUUUACCGAGAGAUCGAUGUGUAUUGAACAGAUAAUCGGAACUUUUACUGUUAUUUGAUGGUUCGAUCUUCACUCAGUGGAUGUUUUGGGUGAUUUUUCGACAUCCCUGACCUUAUUCCGGUAACUUUCCAGAUUCUAGGGUUUCUGGUGUUCGGACCUAGGGUUUUACUGCUAUCAGAUGGCUCGAUCCUUACUCGGUGGAUGCUUUAGGUGAUUUUUCGACGUCCCUGACCCUAUUCCGGUAAGUUUUCAGACCCUACGAUUUCCGGUGGUCGGACCUAGGGUUUUAUCUGGCGAUUGAAAGCCGUUCUUCUCCGGUCGCGAAGAAGGAGGGUAACUCUAUCCUUGUUCUAAGUGUUGUAUAUUUUGCAUGUGGGUUCUGAUUCAACUUUAGGCUGUUUACCGAGACUGUUUUUGAUUUCAAACUGGUUAUUGUUCAUGACUUCUAAUAUGAAUGCUAAUACCUCCUCAGUGGACUCUACCAGCCCCCUUUUUGUUUACUCCUCUGAUGUUCUUGGAGUUUCUCUUGUGUCCACUCCCUUCUCGGGCAGUGGUUAUGGGGGUUGGAGGAGGAAAAUGAUUGUCG